Schistosoma margrebowiei is the source of this 45-nucleotide non-coding RNA. The record is from Rfam. NCBI's taxonomy places the organism in Eukaryota, Metazoa, Platyhelminthes, Trematoda, Strigeidida, Schistosomatidae.
AUCCAGCUGACGAGUCCCAAAUAGGACGAAACGCACGUCAUGGAU